GCCGGCUUAGCUCAGUUGGUAGAGCAGUUGAUUUGUAAUCAUCAGGCCAGGGGUUCGAAUCCUCUAGCCGGCACCA
RNAcentral lists this transfer RNA (76 nucleotides) under Erythrobacter sp. Its description in RNAcentral is "tRNA-Thr". It matches the Rfam family "tRNA". From Rfam's summary of the family: Transfer RNA (tRNA) molecules are approximately 80 nucleotides in length. Their secondary structure includes four short double-helical elements and three loops (D, anti-codon, and T loops). The record is from RNAcentral. RNAcentral also lists the same sequence under 11 other names. Lineage: Bacteria; Pseudomonadati; Pseudomonadota; Alphaproteobacteria; Sphingomonadales; Erythrobacteraceae.